AGAGUUUGAUCCUGGCUCAGGAUAACGCUGGCGGCGUGCCUAACACAUGCAAGUCGAACGAUCCGCAAGGGAGAGUGGCGGAAGGGUGAGUAACACGUGGGAAUCUACCUCCUCGCAGGGAACAACCUCUCGAAAGAGAGGCUAAUACCCAAAAGGGUCAGAAAUGAUCAGAGUCGAAAGGCGUGAGGAGAGGAGCCCGCGGCCCAUCAGCUAGUUGGUGAGGUAAUGGCUUACCAAGGCUACGACGGGUAGGGGAUCUGAGAGGAUGUCCCCCACACUGGAACUGAAACACGGUCCAGACGCCUACGGGUGGCAGCAGUGAGGAAUAUUGGACAAUGGGCGAAAGCCCGAUCCAGCAACGCCGCGUGGAGGAUGAAGGCCUUCGGGUCGUAAACUUCUUUAGAGGGAGACGAGAAAGGACGGUAUCCCUAGAAUAAGCGACGGCAAACUACGUG
RNAcentral lists this ribosomal RNA (455 nucleotides) under uncultured bacterium. RNAcentral's name for it is "bacterial SSU rRNA". It matches the Rfam family "Bacterial small subunit ribosomal RNA", at positions 8 to 507 of the family's 1533-position model. The record is from RNAcentral.